RNAcentral lists this ribosomal RNA (745 nucleotides) under uncultured Halobacteria archaeon. RNAcentral's name for it is "bacterial SSU rRNA". It matches the Rfam family "Archaeal small subunit ribosomal RNA", at positions 528 to 1270 of the family's 1478-position model. The record is from RNAcentral. Lineage: Archaea; Methanobacteriati; Methanobacteriota; Halobacteria.
GCUGUGUAAGUCCAUUGGGAAAUCGACCAGCUCAACUGGUCGGCGCCCGGUGGAAACUACACAGCUUGGGGCCGAGAGACUCAACGGGUACGUCCGGGGUAGGAGUGAAAUCCUGUAAUCCUGGACGGACCACCAAUGGGGAAACCACGUUGAGAGACCGGACCCGACAGUGAGGGACGAAAGCCAGGGUCUCGAACCGGAUUAGAUACCCGGGUAGUCCUGGCUGUAAACAAUGCUCGCUAGGUAUGUCACGCGCCAUGAGCACGUGAUGUGCCGUAGUGAAGACGAUAAGCGAGCCGCCUGGGAAGUACGUCCGCAAGGAUGAAACUUAAAGGAAUUGGCGGGGGAGCACCACAACCGGAGGAGCCUGCGGUUUAAUUGGACUCAACGCCGGACAUCUCACCGGUCCCGACAGUAGUAAUGACAGUCAGGUUGACGACUUUACUCGACGCUACUGAGAGGAGGUGCAUGGCCGCCGUCAGCUCGUACCGUGAGGCGUCCUGUUAAGUCAGGCAACGAGCGAGACCCACACUUCUAGUUGCCAGCAAUACCCUUGUGGUAGUUGGGUACACUAGGAGGACUGCCAUUGCUAAAAUGGAGGAAGGAAUGGGCAACGGUAGGUCAGUAUGCCCCGAAUGGACCGGGCAACACGCGGGCUACAAUGGCUCUGACAGUGGGAUGCAACGCCGAGAGGCGAAGCUAAUCUCCAAACGGAGUCGUAGUUCGGAUUGCGGGCUGAAACCCG